RNAcentral lists this ribosomal RNA (250 nucleotides) under uncultured bacterium. RNAcentral describes it as "partial 16S ribosomal RNA". It matches the Rfam family "Bacterial small subunit ribosomal RNA", at positions 524 to 773 of the family's 1533-position model. The record is from RNAcentral.
UACAGAGGGUGCGAGCGUUGUCCGGAAUCACUGGGCGUAAAGGGCGCGUAGGCGGUCAUGUAAGUCGGGGGUGAAAUGCUGCGGCUCAACCGCAGCGCUGCCUUCGAGACUGCAUGACUGGAGCACGGUAGAGGCGGAUGGAAUUCCCGGUGUAGCGGUGGAAUGCGUAGAGAUCGGGAAGAACACCAAUGGCGAAGGCAGUCCGCUGGGCCGUUGCUGACGCUGAGGCGCGACAGCGUGGGGAGCAAAC